Molecule: ribosomal RNA, 460 nt
Filed under: uncultured bacterium
Lineage: Bacteria
Description: partial 16S ribosomal RNA
Rfam family: Bacterial small subunit ribosomal RNA
Source: RNAcentral
CCUACGGGGGGCAGCAGUGAGGAAUAUUGGUCAAUGGGCGCGAGCCUGACCCAGCCAAGUAGCGUGAAGGAUGACUGCCCUACGGGUUGUAAACUUCUUUUAUAAAGGAAUAAAGUGAGGCACGUGUGCCUUCUUGUAUGUAUUUUAUGAAUAAGGAUCGGCUAACUCCGGGCCAGCAGCCGCGGUAAUACGGAGGAUCCGAGCGUUAUCCGGAUUUAUUGGGUUUAAAGGGAGCGGAGAUGGGUUGUUAAGUCAGUUGUGAAAGUUUGCGGCUCAACCGUAAAAUUGCAAUUGAUACUGGCAGCCUUGAGUACAGAUGAGGUAGGCGGAAUUCGUGGUGUAGCGGUGAAAUGCUUAGAGAUAACGAAGAACUCCGAUUGCGAAGGCAGCCUACUAGACUGCCACUGACAUUGAUGCGCGAAAGUGUGGGGAUCAAACAGGAUUAGAUACCCUAGUAGUC